GACGAACGCUGGCGGCGUGCUUAACACAUGCAAGUCGAACGGAAAGGCCUCUGCUUGCAGGGGUACUCGAGUGGCGAACGGGUGAGUAACACGUGGGUGAUCUGCCCUGCACUUCGGGAUAAGCCUGGGAAACUGGGGCUAAUACCGGAUAGGACCAUGGUUUGCAUGCUGUUGUGGAGGGUGUUUCGGCGGGGGAGGAGCUCGCCGCGUCUCAGCUGUUUGGUGGGGUGAUGGCCUACCACAGAGUCGACGGGUGGAAGGCGCAAGAGGGUGUAGGGGCACAUUUGGGGAGUGAUACAGCCCACACACCCACGGGGGACGGAGCUGGGGGAUAUUUCACAAAGGGGGCAGACCUGAGGCAGCGACACCCCGUGUGGGAUGUCACCCUUCGCGUGGUAUACACCUUUCGCGAGGGACACAGCGUGUGUGUGACGGUAACUGGUAAAGAAGCACCGGCUAACUACGUG
This 467-nucleotide ribosomal RNA is filed under the name uncultured bacterium. Its description in RNAcentral is "partial 16S ribosomal RNA". It matches the Rfam family "Bacterial small subunit ribosomal RNA", at positions 28 to 507 of the family's 1533-position model. The record is from RNAcentral.